AUCUAUAGGAAGCUCUUAGAAAACAAAUUGAAUGAUAUUCUGCGACAGAAGAUUGUACGUAUACUGAAGAGGGAUCGGUGAAAAAUCCAAUCCGAAAUACAGUACAUAUGAAUAAAAGAUCUGUGAAUUAGAGAGAGAGAGAGAGUUUACAAGUAAUCGCGAGCAGGAAAAAAAACUGCUUAAUUCGAUAAAAGUUUUACAAUUCUGUUGCUGAGCAGACAAAAUACUUCAUCGAUUUGUAACGACUUUUGCUGAAGAAUCUAAAAGAUGCAUUCACGGUUGGACUCUUGGCCUAUUAGUAAAAGAUUAAAUUUCUUUGACGUUAUGUUUUUUUGCAUAUUAUUAAAAAAUUAAAGCCAAAGUUUUAAUUGCUUCAUGGAAAAAAAUGAAUAUUUCUCAUCAAAAG
Long non-coding RNA from Centruroides sculpturatus (bark scorpion), 406 nucleotides. RefSeq lists it as uncharacterized. The record is from RefSeq and is a predicted model, not a curated record. NCBI's taxonomy places the organism in Eukaryota, Metazoa, Arthropoda, Arachnida, Scorpiones, Buthidae. The transcript is spliced from 3 exons.